RNAcentral lists this ribosomal RNA (481 nucleotides) under uncultured bacterium. Its description in RNAcentral is "partial 16S ribosomal RNA". It matches the Rfam family "Bacterial small subunit ribosomal RNA", at positions 30 to 507 of the family's 1533-position model. The record is from RNAcentral.
AUUGAACGCUGGCGGCAUGCUUUACACAUGCAAGUCGAACGGUAACAGGCCGCAAGGUGCUGACGAGUGGCGAACGGGUGAGUAAUGCAUCGGAACGUGCCCAGUCGUGGGGGAUAACUACUCGAAAGAGUAGCUAAUACCGCAUACGAUCUAUGGAUGAAAGCGGGGGACCGUAAGGCCUCGCGCGAUUGGAGCGGCCGAUGUCAGAUUAGGUAGUUGGUGGGGUAAAGGCUCACAAGCCAACGAUCUGUAGCUGGUCUGAGAGGACGACCAGCCACACUGGGACUGAGACACGGCCCAGACUCCUACGGGAGGCAGCAGUGGGGAAUUUUGGACAAUGGGCGCAAGCCUGAUCCAGCAAUGCCGCGUGCAGGAAGAAGGCCUUCGGGUUGUAAACUGCUUUUGUACGGAACGAAACGGCUCUGGUUAAUACCCGGGGCUAAUGACGGUACCGUAAGAAUAAGCACCGGCUAACUACGUG